AGCAGCCGCGGUAAUUCCAGCUCCAAUAGCGUAUAUUAAAGUUGUUGCAGUUAAAAAGCUCGUAGUUGAACUUCAGGCCUGGCUGGACGGUCCGCCCUCUGGGUGAGCACUGUCUGUGGUCGGGUCCUACCUUCUGGCGAAGCGGCAUGGCCUUAACCGGCCGUGGCGGGGAACCAGGACUUUUACUGUGAAAAAAUUAGAGUGUUCAAAGCAGGCACGCGCUUGAAUACAUUAGCAUGGAAUAAUGGAAUAGGACAAUGGUUCUAUUUGUUGGUUUCUAGGACCGUUGUAAUGAUUAAUAGGGAUAGUUGGGGGCAUUAGUAUUCAAUUGUCAGAGGUGAAAUUCUUGGAUUUAUUGAAGACUAACUACUGCGAAAGCAUUUGCCAAGGAUGUUUUCAUUAAUCAAGAACGAAAGCUAGGGGAUCGAAGACGAUCAGAUACCGUCGUAGUCUUAACCAUAAACUAUGCCGAC
RNAcentral lists this unclassified non-coding RNA (473 nucleotides) under uncultured Entrophospora. RNAcentral's name for it is "SSU rRNA". It matches the Rfam family "Eukaryotic small subunit ribosomal RNA", at positions 569 to 1046 of the family's 1831-position model. Lineage: Eukaryota; Fungi; Glomeromycota; Glomeromycetes; Entrophosporales; Entrophosporaceae. The record is from RNAcentral.